RNAcentral lists this ribosomal RNA (253 nucleotides) under uncultured bacterium. Its description in RNAcentral is "partial 16S ribosomal RNA". It matches the Rfam family "Bacterial small subunit ribosomal RNA", at positions 524 to 776 of the family's 1533-position model. The record is from RNAcentral.
UACGGAGGGGGCGAGCGUUAUUCGGAAUUAUUGGGCGUAAAGGGCGCGUAGGCGGCGCGAUAAGUCAAAGGUGAAAUCCCUCGGCUCAACUGAGGAACUGCCUUUGAAACUGUCGUGCUUGAGGCCGGGAGGGGGUAGCGGAAUUCCCAGUGUAGCGGUGAAAUGCGUAGAUAUUGGGAGGAACACCAGUGGCGAAGGCGGCUACCUGGACCGGUUCUGACGCUGAUGCGCGAAAGCGUGGGGAGCGAACGGG